This 754-nucleotide ribosomal RNA is filed under the name uncultured bacterium. Its description in RNAcentral is "bacterial SSU rRNA". It matches the Rfam family "Bacterial small subunit ribosomal RNA", at positions 8 to 748 of the family's 1533-position model. The record is from RNAcentral.
AGAGUUUGAUCAUGGCUCAGGACGAACGCUGGCGGCGUGCUUAACACAUGCAAGUCGAACGGAAAGGCCCUCACCUUUUGGUGGGGGUGCUCGAGUGGCGAACGGGUGAGUAACACGUGGGUGAUCUGCCCUGUACUUCGGGAUAAGCUUGGGAAACUGGGUCUAAUACCGGAUAGGACCAUGGCUUAGUGUCUCAUGGUGGAAAGAUUAUUGUUUUGGUGCAGGAUGAGCUCGCGGCCUAUCAGCUUGUUGGUGGGGUAAUGGCCUACCAAGGCGUCGACGGGUAGCCGGCCUGAGAGGGUGGACGGCCACAUUGGGACUGAGAUACGGCCCAGACUCCUACGGGAGGCAGCAGUGGGGAAUAUUGCACAAUGGGCGCAAGCCUGAUGCAGCGACGCCGCGUGGGGGAUGACGGCCUUCGGGUUGUAAACUCCUUUCGUUAGGGACGAAGCCGCACCUUUUUUUGGGUGUGGUGACGGUACCUUUGUUAAGAAGCACCGGCUAACUACGUGCCAGCAGCCGCGGUAAUACGUAGGGUGCGAGCGUUGUCCGGAAUUACUGGGCGUAAAGAGCUCGUAGGUGGUUUGUUGCGUCGUCUGUGAAAUUCCGGGGCUUAACUUCGGGGUGGCAGGCGAUACGGGCAUAACUAGAGUGCUGUAGGGGAGACUGGAAUUCCUGGUGUAGCGGUGGAAUGCGCAGAUAUCAGGAGGAACACCGAUGGCGAAGGCAGGUCUCUGGGCAGUAACUGACGCUG